CCUGACUGCUAUCGGAUUGAUACUAAGCCAUGCGAGUCAUUGUAGUAAUACAAGGCAGACGGCUCAGUAACGCGUAGUCAACCUAACCUAUGGACGGGAAUAACCUCGGGAAACUGAGUAUAAUGCCCGAUAGAACAUUAUGCCUGGAAUGGUUUAUGUUCCAAAUGAUUUAUCGCCGUAGGAUGGACUGCGGCCUAUCAGUUUGUUGGUGAGGUAAUGGCCCACCAAGACUAUUACAGGUACGGGCUCUGAGAGGAGUGGCCCGGAGAUGGGUACUGAGACACGGACCCAGGCCCUAUGGGGCGCAGCAGGCGAGAAAACUUUGCAAUGUGCGAAAGCACGACAAGGUUAAUCCGAGUGGUUUCUGCUAAAGGAACCUUUUGUCGGUCCUAGAAACACCGAUGAAUAAGGGGUGGGCAAGUUCUGGUGUCAGCCGCCGCGGUAAAACCAGCACCUCAAGUGGUCAGGAUGAUUAUUGGGCCUAAAGCAUCCGUAGCCGGCUUUGUUAGUUUUCGGUUAAAUCUGUACGCUUAACGUACAGGCUGCCGGGAAUACUGCAGAGCUAGGGAGUGGGAGAGGUAGACGGUACUCGGUAGGAAGGGGUAAAAUCCUUUGAUCUAUUGAUGACCACCUGUGGCGAAGGCGGUCUACCAGAACACGUCCGACGGUGAGGGAUGAAAGCUGGGGGAGCAAACCGGAUUAGAUACCCGGGUAGUCCCAGCUGUAAACUAUGCAAACUCAGUGAUGCAUUGGCUUGUGGCCAAUGCAGUGCUGCAGGGAAGCCGUUAAGUUUGCCGCCUGGGAAGUACGUACGCAAGUAUGAAACUUAAAGGAAUUGGCGGGGGAGCACCACAAGGGGUGAAGCCUGCGGUUC
RNAcentral lists this ribosomal RNA (874 nucleotides) under uncultured marine group I thaumarchaeote. RNAcentral describes it as "bacterial SSU rRNA". It matches the Rfam family "Archaeal small subunit ribosomal RNA", at positions 21 to 903 of the family's 1478-position model. The record is from RNAcentral. Lineage: Archaea; Thermoproteati; Nitrososphaerota.